This 420-nucleotide ribosomal RNA is filed under the name uncultured bacterium. Its description in RNAcentral is "bacterial SSU rRNA". It matches the Rfam family "Bacterial small subunit ribosomal RNA", at positions 356 to 773 of the family's 1533-position model. The record is from RNAcentral.
AAGGAAUAUUGGACAAUGGGCGAAAGCCUGAUCCAGCCACGCCGCGUGCAGGAUGAAGGUCCUCUGGAUUGUAAACUGCUUUUGUUAGAGACGAAAGUGUAUGAUUGAUCAUAUUUUGACGGUAUCUGACGAAUAAGCACCGGCUAACUACGUGCCAGCAGCCGCGGUAAUACGUAGGGUGCAAGCGUUAUCCGGAUUUACUGGGUUUAAAGGGUCCGCAGGCGGUCUGUUAAGUCAGUGGUGAAAUAUCAGGGCUCAACCUUGAUGCUGCCAUUGAUACUGGCGGACUUGAGAGUAGUAGAGGUGGGCGGAAUGUAGCAUGUAGCGGUGAAAUGCGUAGAUAUGCUACAGAACACCGAUUGCGAAGGCAGCUCACUGGACUAGAUCUGACGCUAAUGGACGAAAGCGUGGGUAGCGAAC